Molecule: non-coding RNA, 162 nt
Organism: Paramuricea clavata
Lineage: Eukaryota; Metazoa; Cnidaria; Anthozoa; Malacalcyonacea; Plexauridae
Source: the annotation of a GenBank genome assembly
UACCCUGGGUGCCAGAGGUUUUUCCACGCUCGCAACGCAAAAAAAUAUAGUGACGGACGGGCGAGCGGGAAAAACCUCUGGAACCAUGCACGCUAUUUUACUAGUUUUUCCCGCUCGCCCGUCCGUCACUAUAUUUUUUUGCGUUGCGAGCGUGGAAAAACC